GCCUGGGCGAGAGAGCGAGACUCCGUCUCAGGGAGGCUGAGGUGGGAGGAUCACUUGAGCCCAGGAGUUCUGGGCUGUAGUGCGCUAUGCUGAUCGGGUGUCCGCACUAAGUUCGGCAUCAAUAUGGUGACCUCCUGGGAGCAGGGGACCACCAGGUUGCCUAAGGAGGGGUGAACCGGCCCGGGUCGGAAACGGAGCAGGUCAAAACUCCCGUGCUGAUCAGUAGUGGGAUCGCUCCUGUGAAUAGCCACUGCACUCCAGCCUGGGCAACAUAGCAAGACCCCGUCUCU
Molecule: signal recognition particle RNA, 290 nt
Filed under: Aotus nancymaae (Ma's night monkey)
Lineage: Eukaryota; Metazoa; Chordata; Mammalia; Primates; Aotidae
Description: Metazoan signal recognition particle RNA (ENSANAG00000002270.1)
Rfam family: Metazoan signal recognition particle RNA
About the family: The signal recognition particle (SRP) is a universally conserved ribonucleoprotein. It is involved in the co-translational targeting of proteins to membranes. The eukaryotic SRP consists of a 300-nucleotide 7S RNA and six proteins: SRPs 72, 68, 54, 19, 14, and 9.
Source: RNAcentral